This 28-nucleotide small RNA is filed under the name Bombyx mori (domestic silkworm). Its description in RNAcentral is "ovarian small RNA-36157". Lineage: Eukaryota; Metazoa; Arthropoda; Insecta; Lepidoptera; Bombycidae. The record is from RNAcentral.
UGUUGCAAGACGGGAUUAGGGGGGCUGU